Molecule: ribosomal RNA, 308 nt
Filed under: uncultured Hyphomicrobiales bacterium
Lineage: Bacteria; Pseudomonadati; Pseudomonadota; Alphaproteobacteria; Hyphomicrobiales
Description: bacterial SSU rRNA
Rfam family: Bacterial small subunit ribosomal RNA
Source: RNAcentral
UGGCUCAGAACGAACGCUGGCGGCAGGCCUAACACAUGCAAGUCGAGCGCCCCGCAAGGGGAGCGGCAGACGGGAGAGUAACACGUGGGAACGUACCCUUUGGUCCGGAACAACCCAGGGAAACUUGGGCUAAUACCGGAUAAGCCCUUACGGGGAAAGAUUUAUCGCCGAAGGAUCGGCCCGCGUCCGAUUAGCUAGUUGGUGUGGUAACGGCGCACCAAGGCGACGAUCGGUAGCUGGUCUGAGAGGAUGAUCAGCCACACUGGGACUGAGACACGGCCCAGAGACCUACGGGAGGCAGCACUGGG